This 1374-nucleotide ribosomal RNA is filed under the name uncultured bacterium. RNAcentral describes it as "bacterial SSU rRNA". It matches the Rfam family "Bacterial small subunit ribosomal RNA", at positions 28 to 1381 of the family's 1533-position model. The record is from RNAcentral.
GAUGAACGCUGGCGGCGUGCCUAAUACAUGCAAGUCGAGCGAACGGACGAGAAGCUUGCUUCUCUGAUGUUAGCGGCGGACAGGUGAGUAACACGUGGAUAACCUACCUAUAAGACUGGGAUAACUUCGGGAAACCGGAGCUAAUACCGGAUAAUAUUUUGAACCGCAUGGUUCAAAAGUGAAAGACGGUCUUGCUGUCACUUAUAGAUGGAUCCGCGCUGCAUUAGCUAGUUGGUAAGGUAACGGCUUACCAAGGCAACGAUGCAUAGCCGACCUGAGAGGGUGAUCGGCCACACUGGAACUGAGACACGGUCCAGACUCCUACGGGAGGCAGCAGUAGGGAAUCUUCCGCAAUGGGCGAAAGCCUGACGGAGCAACGCCGCGUGAGUGAUGAAGGUCUUCGGAUCGUAAAACUCUGUUAUUAGGGAAGAACAUAUGUGUAAGUAACUGUGCACAUCUUGACGGUACCUAAUCAGAAAGCCACGGCUAACUACGUGCCAGCAGCCGCGGUAAUACGUAGGUGGCAAGCGUUAUCCGGAAUUAUUGGGCGUAAAGCGCGCGUAGGCGGUUUUUUAAGUCUGAUGUGAAAGCCCACGGCUCAACCGUGGAGGGUCAUUGGAAACUGGAAAACUUGAGUGCAGAAGAGGAAAGUGGAAUUCCAUGUGUAGCGGUGAAAUGCGCAGAGAUAUGGAGGAACACCAGUGGCGAAGGCGACUUUCUGGUCUGUAACUGACGCUGAUGUGCGAAAGCGUGGGGAUCAAACAGGAUUAGAUACCCUGGUAGUCCACGCCGUAAACGAUGAGUGCUAAGUGUUAGGGGGUUUCCGCCCCUUAGUGCUGCAGCUAACGCAUUAAGCACUCCGCCUGGGGAGUACGACCGCAAGGUUGAAACUCAAAGGAAUUGACGGGGACCCGCACAAGCGGUGGAGCAUGUGGUUUAAUUCGAAGCAACGCGAAGAACCUUACCAAAUCUUGACAUCCUUUGACAACUCUAGAGAUAGAGCCUUCCCCUUCGGGGGGGGCAAAGUGACAGGUGGUGCAUGGUUGUCGUCAGCUCGUGUCGUGAGAUGUUGGGUUAAGUCCCGCAACGAGCGCAACCCUUAAGCUUAGUUGCCAUCAUUAAGUUGGGCACUCUAAGUUGACUGCCGGUGACAAACCGGAGGAAGGUGGGGAUGACGUCAAAUCAUCAUGCCCCUUAUGAUUUGGGCUACACACGUGCUACAAUGGACAAUACAAAGGGCAGCGAAACCGCGAGGUCAAGCAAAUCCCAUAAAGUUGUUCUCAGUUCGGAUUGUAGUCUGCAACUCGACUACAUGAAGCUGGAAUCGCUAGUAAUCGUAGAUCAGCAUGCUACGGUGAAUACGUUCCCGGGUCU